GAUGAACGCUGGCGGCGUGCCUAAUACAUGCAAGUCGAGCGAACGGACGAGAAGCUUGCUUCUCUGAUGUUAGCGGCGGACGGGUGAGUAACACGUGGAUAACCUACCUAUAAGACUGGGAUAACUUCGGGAAACCGGAGCUAAUACCGGAUAAUAUUUUGAACCGCAUGGUUCAAAAGUGAAAGACGGUCUUGCUGUCACUUAUAGAUGGAUCCGCGCUGCAUUAGCUAGUUGGUAAGGUAACGGCUUACCAAGGCAACGAUGCAUAGCCGACCCGAGAGGGUGAUCGGCCACACUGGAACUGAGACACGGUCCAGACUCCUACGGGAGGCAGCAGUAGGGAAUCUUCCGCAAAGGGCGAAAGCCUGACGGAGCAACGCCGCGUGAGUGAUGAAGGUCUUCGGAUCGUAAAACUCUGUUAUUAGGGAAGAACAUAUGUGUAAGUAACUGUGCACAUCUUGACGGUACCUAAUCAGAAAGCCACGGCUAACUACGUG
RNAcentral lists this ribosomal RNA (497 nucleotides) under uncultured bacterium. RNAcentral describes it as "partial 16S ribosomal RNA". It matches the Rfam family "Bacterial small subunit ribosomal RNA", at positions 28 to 507 of the family's 1533-position model. The record is from RNAcentral.